UGAAUACGAGAUGCUACGGCGUCGAAGCAGUGUAUGUCAGACUUCCAAGAAAAGCUCGCAAUGUCAUAAAUAAAGAAUGCCUGUACCAUAACCGACACAGGUGGGUAGGUAGAGUAUACUAAGGGGCGCGAGAUAACUCUCUCUAAGGAACUCGGCAAAAUAACUCCGUAACUUCGGGAGAAGGAGUGCCUUCUUUAAGAAGGUUGCAAUAACAAGAUCCAAGCAACUGUUUAUCAAAAACACAGGUCUCCGCUAAGUCGUAAGACGAUGUAUGGGGGCUGACGCCUGCCCAGUGCCAGAAGGUUAAAGAAGUUGGUUAGCUUUUGCGAAGCUGAUGACUGAAGCCCUGGUGAACGGCGGCCGUAACUAUAACGGUCCUAAGGUAGCGAAAUUCCUUGUCGGGUAAGUUCCGACCCGCACGAAAGGCGUAAUGAUUUGGAUACUGUCUCGGAGAGGGACUCGGUGAAAUAGACUUGUCUGUGAAGAUGCGGACUACCUGCACCAGGACAGAAAGACCCUAUGAAGCUUUACUGUAACUUGAAAUUGAAAUUGGACUUUAUUUGCGCAGUAUAGGUGGAAGGCGUUGAAAGUAAUCUUGCGGGAUUAGUGGAGCCAUCAGUGAGAUACCACUCCUAUAAUGUUAGAUUUCUAACUUUGGAUCAUGAUCUGGUCAAAGAACAGUUUCAGGCGGGCAGUUUGACUGGGGCGGUCGCCUCCCAAAUGGUAACGGAGGCGUACAAAGGUUUCCUCUGAACGGGUAGAAAUCGUAUCUAGAGUGUAAAGGCAUAAGGAAGCUUGACUGUGAGACCUACAAGUCGAGCAGGGACGAAAGUCGGUCUUAGUGAUCUGACGGUGCUGAGUGGAAAGGCCGUCACUCAACGGAUAAAAGUACUCUAGGAUAACAGGCUGAUCUCCCCCAAGAGUUCACAUCGACGGGGAGGUUUGGCACCUCGAUGUCGGCUCAUCGCAUCCUGGGGCGGUAGUACGUCCCAAGGGUUGGGCUGUUCGCCCAUGAAAGCGGUACGCGAGCUGGGUUCAGAACGUCGUGAGACAGUUCGGUCCAUAUCCGGUGUAGGCGUUAGAAUAUUGAGAGGAGCCUUCUUUAGUACGAGAGGACCGAGAAGGACAUACCUCUGGUGUACCAGUUAUCGUGCCAACGGUAAACGCUGGGUAGCUAUGUAUGGAGAGGAUAACCGCUGAAAGCAUCUAAGUGGGAAGCCCACCUCAAGAUGAGUAUUCUGGUGUAAGGUCACGGGAAGACGACCCGUAAAUAGGCACGAGGUGGAAGUGCAGAGAUGUAUGAAGCCGAAGUGUACUAAUAGACCGUCGGCUUGACC
This 1337-nucleotide ribosomal RNA is filed under the name metagenome. RNAcentral describes it as "bacterial LSU rRNA". It matches the Rfam family "Bacterial large subunit ribosomal RNA", at positions 1564 to 2925 of the family's 2925-position model. The record is from RNAcentral.